Molecule: ribosomal RNA, 403 nt
Filed under: uncultured bacterium
Lineage: Bacteria
Description: partial 16S ribosomal RNA
Rfam family: Bacterial small subunit ribosomal RNA
Source: RNAcentral
AUUGAACGCUGGCGGCAGGCCUAACACAUGCAAGUCGAGCGAGCGGCGGACGGGUGAGUAAUGUAUGGGGACUGCCCGAUAGAGGGGGAUAACUACUGGAAACGGUAGCUAAUACCCCAUACUAUCGGAUAACCCAUAUGGGAUUAGCUAGUAGGUGAGGUAAUGGCUCAACUAGGCGACGAUCCCUAGCUGGUCUGAGAGGAUGAUCAGCCACACUGGGACUGAGCCACGGCCCAGACGCCUACGGAGGCAGCAGUGGGGAAUAUUGCACAAGGGGCGCAAGCAUGAUGCAGCCAUGCAGCGUGUAUGAAGAAGGCCCUAGGGUUGUAAAGUACUUUCAGUCGGGAGGCGUUACCGACAGAAGAAGCACCGGCUAACUCCGUGCCAGCAGCCGCGGUAAUAC